UACAGAGGGUGCAACCGUUGCUCGGAAUUAUUGGGCGUAAAGCGCGUGUAGGCGGCUUGUUAAGUCGGUUGUGAAAACCCAUGGCUCAACCAUGGAAGGGCGUCCGAAACUGGCAAGCUAGAGUCCCGACGAGGAUGGCGGAAUUCCCAGUGUAGAGGUGAAAUUCGUAGAUAUUGGGAGGAACACCGGUGGCGAAGGCGGCCAUCUGGGAGGGCACUGACGCUGAGACGCGAAAGCGUGGGGAGCAAACAGG
RNAcentral lists this ribosomal RNA (253 nucleotides) under uncultured bacterium. RNAcentral describes it as "partial 16S ribosomal RNA". It matches the Rfam family "Bacterial small subunit ribosomal RNA", at positions 524 to 776 of the family's 1533-position model. The record is from RNAcentral.